RNAcentral lists this ribosomal RNA (253 nucleotides) under uncultured bacterium. Its description in RNAcentral is "partial 16S ribosomal RNA". It matches the Rfam family "Bacterial small subunit ribosomal RNA", at positions 524 to 776 of the family's 1533-position model. The record is from RNAcentral.
UACGAAGGGGGCUAGCGUUGCUCGGAAUUACUGGGCGUAAAGCGUGCGCAGGCGGUUUGGUAAGACAGGCGUGAAAUCCCCGGGCUUAACCUGGGAACUGCGUUUGUGACUGCCAGGCUAGAGUACGGCAGAGGGGGGUGGAAUUCCACGUGUAGCAGUGAAAUGCGUAGAGAUGUGGAGGAACACCAAUGGCGAAGGCAGCCCCCUGGGUCGAUACUGACGCUCAUGCACGAAAGCGUGGGUAGCAAACAGG